CCCUUAGAUGUCCUGGGCCGCACGCGUGCUACACUGAUGCAUACAGCGAGUACUCCCAGCUCCGCGAGGCUGCUGGUAAUCAGCAAUAUGCAUCGUGAUGGGGAUAGAUCUUUGGAAUUAUAGAUCUUGAACGAGGAAUUCCUAGUAAACGCAAGUCAUCACCUUGCGUUGACUAAGUCCCUGCCCUUUGUACACACCGCCCGUCGCUCCUACCGAUUUCGAGUGAUCCGGUGAAUCAUUCGGACCGCGUGGGCUUGACCUAACGUGGAAAGUCUAGGAAACCAUAUCACUUAGAGGAAGGAGAAGUCGUAACA
This 314-nucleotide ribosomal RNA is filed under the name uncultured eukaryote. Its description in RNAcentral is "partial 18S ribosomal RNA". It matches the Rfam family "Eukaryotic small subunit ribosomal RNA", at positions 1470 to 1796 of the family's 1831-position model. The record is from RNAcentral.